UAAUCCCUGUGAUGUACGUGAUGUCCCAAAUGUUUUGAGCCAACACUUUAGUCUAGGGAGCCGUCAUCCAAUGCAUGGUCCAGGGACUUGGUCCCUGAUCAUCGGUGGGCACCCACCUGCGUAUGCAGGUUCAAGACUAGGAAGACACACGGCGUUGCGGGGAUUAC
Molecule: non-coding RNA, 167 nt
Filed under: Chloroflexota bacterium
Lineage: Bacteria; Bacillati; Chloroflexota
Description: Chloroflexi bacterium (anaerobic digester metagenome) 6S RNA
Rfam family: 6S / SsrS RNA
About the family: E. coli 6S RNA was the first non coding RNA to be sequenced, but its function was unknown until recently. It consists of 184 nucleotides that fold into an extended hairpin structure with a large single-stranded internal bulge. The 6S RNA specifically associates with RNA polymerase holoenzyme containing the sigma70 specificity factor.
Source: RNAcentral